Molecule: ribosomal RNA, 251 nt
Filed under: uncultured bacterium
Lineage: Bacteria
Description: partial 16S ribosomal RNA
Rfam family: Bacterial small subunit ribosomal RNA
Source: RNAcentral
UACGUAGGUGGCAAGCGUUGUCCGGAUUUAUUGGGUUUAAAGGGUGCGUAGGCGGCCUUGUAAGUCAGUGGUGAAAUACUCUAGCUUAACUAGAGGGGUGCCAAUGAUACUGCAGGGCUUGAGUACAGAUGAGGUAGGCGGAAUUGACGGUGUAGCGGUGAAAUGCAUAGAUAUCGUCAAGAACACCUAUAGAAGGCAGCUUACUGGGCUGUAACUGACGCUGAGGCACGAAAGUGUGGGGAUCAAACAGG